UACGUAGGGGGCUAGCGUUGUCCGGAAUCAUUGGGCGUAAAGCGCGUGUAGGCGGCCCGGUAAGUCCGCUGUGAAAGUCGGGGGCUCAACCCUCGGAUGCCGGUGGAUACUGUCGGGCUAGAGUGCGGAAGAGGCGAGUGGAAUUCCUGGUGUAGCGGUGAAAUGCGCAGAUAUCAGGAAGAACACCUAUGGCGAAGGCAGCUCUCUGGGACGGUACUGACGCUGAGACGCGAAAGCGUGGGGAGCGAACAGG
This 253-nucleotide ribosomal RNA is filed under the name uncultured bacterium. RNAcentral describes it as "partial 16S ribosomal RNA". It matches the Rfam family "Bacterial small subunit ribosomal RNA", at positions 524 to 776 of the family's 1533-position model. The record is from RNAcentral.